GCAGGAGUGCGCAAGUGGUCAUAAGCGCCUAGACUUGAAAUCUUGUGUGAGCUAAAUACUCCCGUGGGUUCGAAUCCUACCUCCUGCG
RNAcentral lists this transfer RNA (88 nucleotides) under Siphoviridae sp. ctLqe90. Its description in RNAcentral is "tRNA-Ser". It matches the Rfam family "tRNA". Rfam says of the family: Transfer RNA (tRNA) molecules are approximately 80 nucleotides in length. Their secondary structure includes four short double-helical elements and three loops (D, anti-codon, and T loops). Lineage: Duplodnaviria; Heunggongvirae; Uroviricota; Caudoviricetes. RNAcentral also lists the same sequence under 1 other name. The record is from RNAcentral.